AUUGAACGCUGGCGGCAGGCCUAACACAUGCAAGUCGGACGGUAGCACAGAGAGCUUGCUCUUGGGUGACGAGUGGCGGACGGGUGAGUAAUGUCUGGGGAUCUGCCCGAUAGAGGGGGAUAACCACUGGAAACGGUGGCUAAUACCGCAUAACGUCGCAAGACCAAAGAGUGGGACCUUCGGGCCUCUCACUAUCGGAUGAACCCAGAUGGGAUUAGCUAGUAGGCGGGGUAAUGGCCCACCUAGGCGACGAUCCCUAGCUGGUCUGAGAGGAUGACCAGCCACACUGGAACUGAGACACGGUCCAGACUCCUACGGGAGGCAGCAGUGGGGAAUAUUGCACAAUGGGCGCAAGCCUGAUGCAGCCAUGCCGCGUGUAUGAAGAAGGCCUUCGGGUUGUAAAGUACUUUCAGCGGGGAGGAAGGCGACGCGGUUAAUAACCGCGUCGAUUGACGUUACCCGCAGAAGAAGCACCGGCUAACUCCGUGCCAGCCGCCGCGGUAA
This 504-nucleotide ribosomal RNA is filed under the name uncultured bacterium. RNAcentral's name for it is "partial 16S ribosomal RNA". It matches the Rfam family "Bacterial small subunit ribosomal RNA", at positions 29 to 523 of the family's 1533-position model. The record is from RNAcentral.